GGAGUGAUGGCCGAGCGGUUUAAGGCGCACGCCUGCUAAGCGUGAGGGUGGAAACGCCCACCAGGGUUCGAAUCCCUGUCACUCCGCCA
This is a transfer RNA of 89 nucleotides. It matches the Rfam family "tRNA". From Rfam's summary of the family: Transfer RNA (tRNA) molecules are approximately 80 nucleotides in length.